CGGAUUGCAGUCUGAAACUCGAGUGCAUGAAGCUGGAAUCGCUAGUAAUCGCAAAUCAGAAUGUUGCGGUGAAUACGUUCCCGGGUCUUGUACACACCGCCCGUCACACCAUGGGAGUUGGAAAUGCCCGAAGUCAGUGACCCAACCUAAGGGAGGGAGCUGCCGAAGGCAGGUUCGAUGACUGGGGUGAAGUCGUAACAAGGUAUC
RNAcentral lists this ribosomal RNA (207 nucleotides) under uncultured bacterium. RNAcentral's name for it is "partial 16S ribosomal RNA". It matches the Rfam family "Bacterial small subunit ribosomal RNA", at positions 1294 to 1500 of the family's 1533-position model. The record is from RNAcentral.